AGCAUCGAUUUCUGUAGGGGGAUAAAGACUUCGGGAAAGUAGCUUCCUUCGGGGAGUGUUAUAGCCCGCUGUGUAAUACCCUUACGGGGAUCGAGGUUCGCGCUUCUGCAAGGAUGCUGGCAUAAUGGUCAUCAGCGACCCGUCUUGAAACACGGACCAAGGAGUCGAACAUUUAUGCGAGUGUUUGGGUGUUAAACCCUCACGCGUAAUGAAAGUGAACGGAGGUGAGAGCUCUUAAGGGUGCAUCAUCGACCGAUCCUGAUGUCUUCGGAUGGAUUUGAGUAAGAGCAUAACUGUUCGGACCCGAAAGAUGGUGAACUAUGCGUGGAUAGGGUGAAGCCAGAGGAAACUCUGGUGGAGGCUCGCAGCGGUUCUGACGUGCAAAUCGAUCGUCAAAUCUGCGCAUGGGGGCGAAAGACUAAUCGAACCAUUAACGGAAACACCAGCGGUAAAUAAUUAUUUACUAGGUGGUUUAGAGGCCUCUCGCGAGAGCAGGUCUAGGUCGGCGCCUACCCGGGACCUAUCCGGGUAGCUACUCGGAAACUAUCCCAUAGUUGCUUACCCGGGAGCUACCCUGUAGUAACGGGUAGCCGACCGACACCGCUAAAUUGCGGGGACAUCCUAUAGAAGGCUCCGGGCUACCGCCGCACGCUGAAAAGCGCCUGCGGCACCAAGAGUAACGCUCUUGGGUACGGUAAGAACGCCCGGGGUAUCGGACGACCUGCAGCCAACCCCGUCAGCCCCGGUAGGGGGUCUAGGGGAGAGUUCACUGACUAAACAGCGGUGGGUCCCGCGGCGGGGUGUCGCGGGGCUUAAGACAUAGUCGAUCCGGGCCCUGAAAAGGUGACCCUGAAAGUAUAAUACUAGCGA
This 870-nucleotide ribosomal RNA is filed under the name Lopadostoma gastrinum. RNAcentral's name for it is "partial large subunit ribosomal RNA". It matches the Rfam family "Eukaryotic large subunit ribosomal RNA", at positions 498 to 1907 of the family's 3401-position model. Lineage: Eukaryota; Fungi; Ascomycota; Sordariomycetes; Xylariales; Xylariaceae. The record is from RNAcentral.